This is a long non-coding RNA of Lepisosteus oculatus (spotted gar), 2263 nucleotides long. The record is from Ensembl. NCBI's taxonomy places the organism in Eukaryota, Metazoa, Chordata, Actinopteri, Semionotiformes, Lepisosteidae.
AUGCUUCACCAAUUGAAUUAUGACAGAACUGUGGGGAAGCCACAUGUGAGCCCAGAAUUGAGUCAGGACACUGCAGGUAACAUCCAUACGUUUAAAGACAGCACCGUGAGAUCUUUAAAUGACUUCAGCUGGGCACCCGAACCAAACGGACCUCCUACAGCAGUAUCUCCUGCUUUUACGAUACGAAAUUGUUUUGGAAUUUCUGGGACAGAUGGAAUGGUGCCAGUUACUGCCCUAGCUACGCUACUUACAGCACCUGUAUGGCCACUAAGACAUUGUGUUUGCAGCCAAUGUGUCUCAACUGACUGUGCAGUCCACCAGUUCCACCCUGUCCAAGGUAACUGAGACACAGUGCAAUUUCUAGAAUGUCACCCUGCCAGGCAGCAGGUCUGAAUUACCUCUGUGAACUUGCCUCAGGUGAGUGUAUCGGAUUUGUCAAGUCGCAUAAAACACAAUGAGCAGGACAAACUUGUCAGCAGAUGAGCCAUACCGCCUGUUGACUAAUGAGAACCUUAAAAGGAUAGAUUACCCAUAAACACUGAUAAUGUGCACUCUUCUAUAUGUGGUAUAUGCUAUUCAUGUGGGUCUUGGAAAUAUAGAAAAGUAUCUUGAUAAUGUAAGAGGAUAGUUACCUGAGUCUUACCUGGUUACAUGUGACACAUAAAAGUUUAUUCAAAGUACAAGUGCUGUCUAUAUAUAUACAUUAUGCUUUUGUUUCAAGAGCACAAAUGGAUUUUAUAACUGCAACAAAAAGACACCUAGUUUGGCUAAAAAAUGUUCAAGCACCUCUGUGUUAUACAUUAACAUUUGUUUAUAUAGUGUAACUGAAAGUUAUGCAUUACACCAGCCAUAAUGCCUACGUUAAAGAAACAAUUCAGUAAUAAUUCAUAUUAGGUGAUAGAAAUAACUAUUUGCAUAUUAAUUUCAUGUUAAUGGAUGUGUUAUUACUUUCCAGUUCUGUUUGACUAAAUGAAGACUUUUUUUCAGGAAGGUAGUGAAAACAAUGAAAAGUACUGUACCUGCCCUUCUUUUACCUAAAUUACUUUCAUUUCUUAUCUUUUGUUGGCGUCUCUUUCAUGUGCGCUGAGGACCAAGCCUUUAGAAAAUCCGCUGCCUCUUCUGGAAAAAUAGUAAUUUCUUAAUAUUCUUAUUAUUUCUGCUGUUGUCCAAUUAAUCUUAUUUUGCAUAAAAAUAUAAUUUCAAAUAAUAAACAUUCCUAUAACUGAUUUAAAAUGCAGAUGCAUAGACAUUUGACAUUAAUUUAUGCCACAAUGAAUACCAACAAGUCAACUUAGGCAUCACAUCCAGUAUAAUUGCAUCCACACCUACAGUAAGGUUUUCAUUGCACUACACUAUUAUAAUUCUGUAUUUGUAUCUAGAUUUAAGCUUUAAUUCAAUUGCUCUUCUAGGUAUAUACAUGUGUUCCUCACUUUUUGUCUUGGAAAUCAUUUUUGCAAUAACGGGUUGUCUUGGGAUUGCUGACACAGGUAAUCAAUCACAUUACUCAUGGCAAACUGCUAUGUAAUUACCCGCAAUAGGAUGCAAUGUUAUUUUUUGCCAAAGGUGAGAUGCUUAUCUGGGACACAGUCCCCUAAUUAAUGACUAGGGGAGCAGCUGAGGGGUAGAGUUUGCUUUAGUGAAUGUGGGUAAUUUUUUUUUCAUUUUAAUGUCUGAAUUUUUAACCAGUCCUGAAGUCUGUUAUCCUGAAAACUUAAUUCAGAAAAUGAAUGAUGCUUACAGGGAGCAAUACAGAUUUCCCCACAGCGUUUCAGUGUUUACAUGUGAAAUGUCAAAGUGAACUGUAAUGAUCGAUCUGUGCAGGCUUUUGGUCUUUUAAAAGGAAAACAGAUGAAAAAUAAACUGGCAAUUCAAUUUUCUAUUUUUUUCCCAUUGUCAAUCCUGUCUUAUUUAUGCACGAGGCCGGGGAUCUAUUUUUUACAACAGUGAAUUGUUUUACCAAAAGUCUGUUUGAAAUGUAUUUUGUUUGCGACGUGGGGAUUAAAUGUUUCUCUCGGCAGAAACAUUAGAGCCUUUCAGGGCGAUAUUUACCUAAGAUCGAUCUCCAUUUUUCUGCACUGUUUCGUAUUCAGUGACCACUUCAGUAAACUCAGCUUGUUUGUGUGUAUAAAGUCUCGUUGUUUUCUAGACAUGUUGCUGAUAAACCAGAAUAUCGUUCUCAUGUUUGAUCAGGAUAUAUGUAUUGGAAGAUGAGUAACAGACGUGUAUUCACUUAUAAUACGUAUAAUAUUAAUGUCAUUAUAAU